CAUGCAAGUCGAACGAGAAAGCGGGGGCACUCCGUGAGUAAAGUGGCAGACGGGUGAGUAACACGUGAACAACCUACCCUCGAGUGGGGAAUAACACCGCGAAAGCGGUGCUAAUACCGCAUAACAUCUCCGGGUCGCAUGGCCCGGAGAUCAAAAGCGAAAGUUGCUUGGGGAGGGGUUCGCGCCUGAUUAGCUAGUUGGUGAGGUAACGGCCCACCAAGGCAACGAUCAGUAGCCGGCCUGAGAGGGCGAACGGCCACACUGGAACUGAGACACGGUCCAGACUCCUACGGGAGGCAGCAGUGGGGAAUUUUGCGCAAUGGGCGAAAGCCUGACGCAGCAACGCCGCGUGGAGGAUGAAGGCCUUCGGGUCGUAAACUCCUGUCAGUAGGGACGAAUGCUCCGCAAGGGGUUUGACUGUACCUGCUGAGGAAGCCACGGCUAACUCCGUGCCAGCAGCCGCGGUAAUACGGAGGUGGCAAGCGUUGUUCGGAAUUACUGGGCGUAAAGGGCGCGUAGGCGGCUUGGCAAGUCAGAUGUGAAAGCCCCGGGCUUAACUCGGGAAUUGCAUCUGAAACUGCUUUGCUUGAGUCCUGGAUGGGAUAGUGG
RNAcentral lists this ribosomal RNA (609 nucleotides) under uncultured Acidobacterium sp. RNAcentral's name for it is "bacterial SSU rRNA". It matches the Rfam family "Bacterial small subunit ribosomal RNA", at positions 54 to 664 of the family's 1533-position model. Lineage: Bacteria; Pseudomonadati; Acidobacteriota; Terriglobia; Terriglobales; Acidobacteriaceae. The record is from RNAcentral.